AGGAAGGGGAGAGCGGAGGCCCGAGGGCUCGGCUUCCGAGGUGUGGAGAGCUGAAUAAGGAGGAAGUCAUAGCAAUAACAGGACAACAAAGAGAAGCUGAUCAUGGAUUAUCUGACUAUUGAAGUUGAAGGAAAAGCUGUGACUACUGAGGAUGCUUCUCUGCCCCAAAAACAGAGCACAGAAGAAGUGGAGCCUACCGUAGAGCCCCUUCCUGUUGAG
Long non-coding RNA from Eubalaena glacialis (North Atlantic right whale), 219 nucleotides. RefSeq lists it as uncharacterized. The transcript has 3 exons. NCBI's taxonomy places the organism in Eukaryota, Metazoa, Chordata, Mammalia, Artiodactyla, Balaenidae. The record is from RefSeq and is a predicted model, not a curated record.